RNAcentral lists this ribosomal RNA (655 nucleotides) under Rhodococcus sp. PE-R2A-9. RNAcentral's name for it is "bacterial SSU rRNA". It matches the Rfam family "Bacterial small subunit ribosomal RNA", at positions 103 to 772 of the family's 1533-position model. Lineage: Bacteria; Bacillati; Actinomycetota; Actinomycetes; Mycobacteriales; Nocardiaceae. The record is from RNAcentral.
CGGGUGAGUAACACGUGGGUGAUCUGCCCUGCACUUCGGGAUAAGCCUGGGAAACUGGGUCUAAUACCGGAUAUGACCACAGGAUGCAUGUUUUGUGGUGGAAAGGUUUACUGGUGCAGGAUGAGCCCGCGGCCUAUCAGCUUGUUGGUGGGGUAAUGGCCUACCAAGGCGACGACGGGUAGCCGGCCUGAGAGGGCGACCGGCCACACUGGGACUGAGACACGGCCCAGACUCCUACGGGAGGCAGCAGUGGGGAAUAUUGCACAAUGGGCGAAAGCCUGAUGCAGCGACGCCGCGUGAGGGAUGACGGCCUUCGGGUUGUAAACCUCUUUCAGCAGGGACGAAGCGCAAGUGACUGUACCUGCAGAAGAAGCACCGGCUAACUACGUGCCAGCAGCCGCGGUAAUACGUAGGGUGCGAGCGUUGUCCGGAAUUACUGGGCGUAAAGAGUUCGUAGGCGGUUUGUCGCGUCGUGUGUGAAAUCCCGCAGCUCAACUGCGGGCUUGCAGGCGAUACGGGCAGACUUGAGUACUGCAGGGGAGACUGGAAUUCCUGGUGUAGCGGUGAAAUGCGCAGAUAUCAGGAGGAACACCGGUGGCGAAGGCGGGUCUCUGGGCAGUAACUGACGCUGAGGAACGAAAGCGUGGGUAGCGAA